CCUAUCCGGAGGCGGAACCGGCAGUGCGGCCCGAAGUCCCACAGUCACCGAGCGCGCCCGGCCAUGCGCCCCCUGCGCCCCCGCGCGACGCUGCUCGCGGUCCUGGCCUCGCUCCUGGCCGCUCCCCCGGUGGUCCCGGCCGAGGCCCCGCACCUGGUGCAGGUGGACGCGGCACGCACGCUGUGGCCCCUGCGGCGCUUCUGGAGGAGCACAGGCUUCUGCCCCCCGCUGCCACACAGCCAGGCUGACCAGUACGUCCUCAGCUGGGACCAGCAACUCAACCUCGCCUAUGUGGGCGCCGUCCCUCACCGUGGCAUCGAGCAGGUCCGGACCCACUGGCUGCUGGAGCUUGUCACCACCAGGGGGUCCACUGGACGGGGCCCAAGCUACAACUUCACCCACCUGGAUGGGUACCUGGACCUUCUCACGGAGAACCAGCUCCUCCCAGGUGAGCUGUGGGCUCUGCCCUCCCAGCCCUCCUGCACCCUCUUGCCCUGCCUACCCUCUCCCUCACCCAGCCCCUCCGGGUCCUUGGAUGUCCAUUCAGGGCUGGCCUUGGUGCCGGAGCACGACCUGGCAGAGCAUGGGUGUCAUGUGUGGUGGGCAGUGGGGCAGCCCUCCUGUGUUCCAGGGUUUGAGCUGAUGGGCAGCGCCUCGGGCCACUUCACCGACUUUGAGGACAAGCAGCAGGUGUUUGAGUGGAAGGACUUGGUCUCCAGCCUGGCCAGGAGAUACAUCGGUAGGUACGGACUGGCGCAUGUUUCCAAAUGGAACUUCGAGACGUGGAACGAGCCGGACCACCACGACUUUGACAACGUCUCCAUGACCAUGCAAGGCUUCCUGAACUACUACGAUGCCUGCUCGGAGGGUCUGCGCGCGGCCAGCCCGGCCCUGCGGCUGGGAGGCCCUGGCGACUCCUUCCACACCCCACCGCGAUCCCCGCUGAGCUGGGGCCUCCUGCGCCACUGCCACGACGGUACCAACUUCUUCACCGGGGAGGUGGGCGUGCGGCUGGACUACAUCUCCCUCCACAGGAAGGGUGCGCGCAGCUCCAUCUCCAUCCUGGAGCAGGAGAAGGCCGUCGCGCAGCAGAUCCGGCAGCUCUUCCCCAAGUUUGCGGACACCCCCAUUUACAACGACGAGGCGGACCCGCUGGUGGGCUGGUCCCUGCCCCAGCCGUGGAGGGCUGACGUGACCUAUGCGGCCAUGGUGGUGAAGGUCAUCGCCCAGCAUCAGAACCUGCUACUGGCCAACACCAGCUCCACCAUCCCCUACGCGCUCCUGAGCAACGACAACGCCUUCCUGAGCUACCACCCGCACCCCUUCGCGCAGCGCACGCUCACCGCGCGCUUCCAGGUCAACAACACCCGCCCGCCGCACGUGCAGCUGGUGCGCAAGCCGGUGCUCACAGCCAUGGGGCUGCUGGCGCUUCUGGGUGAGCCCGGGCCGCUGGGGUGGGCCGGCCAAGGCCCUCCAGGCUGGGGAGCGGCUCCUGCGAAGGCACCGCUGCGGGGAGCACGCCUCUUCCAGCCGCGCGCUUCCCGGCGUCGGCCUCCGCGUGGCAGGGCCUGGGGACUCCUUCAUGAAGGGGAGGGGGAGCGAGUGGUGGGAGGCCCGGUCCUGGGUUGGGGGGCGGCGGGGCAACGACCCCACGCGGCGACGGUCCCCGCGUCCCGCAGACGAGGAGCAGCUCUGGGCCGAGGUGUCUCGGGCCGGGACGGUCCUGGACAGCAACCACACGGUGGGCGUCCUGGCCAGCGCCCACCGCCCCGAGGGCCCAGCCGACGCCUGGCGUGCGGCCGUGCUGAUCUACGCGAGCGACGACACCCGCGCCCACCCCAACCGCAGCGUCGCGGUGACGCUGCGGCUGCGCGGGGUGACCCCCGGCCCGGGCCUGGUCUAUGUCACGCGCUACCUGGACAACCGGCUCUGCAGCCCCGACGGCGAGUGGCGGCGCCUGGGCCGGCCUGUCUUCCCCUCUGCCGAGCAGUUCCGGCGCAUGCGCGCGGCCGAGGAACCUGUGGCCGCGGCGCCGCGCCCCUUCCCCGCCAGCGGCCGCCUGACCCUGCGCCCCGCGCUGCGACUGCCGUCGCUUCUGCUGGUGCACGUGUGCGCGCGCCCUGAGAAGCCGCCCGGCCAGGUCACGCGGCUCCGUGCCCUGCCCUUGACCCAAGGGCAGCUGGUUCUGGUCUGGUCGGAUGAACACGUGGGCUCCAAGUGCGUGCCUGUGGACAUACGAGAUCCAGUUCUCUCAGGAUGGUAAGGUGUACACCCCAGUCAGCAGAAAGCCAUCGACCUUCAAUCUCUUUGUGUUCAGCCCAGACACAGGUACUGUCUCCGGCUCCUACCGAGUUCGAGCUCUGGACUACUGGGCCCGACCAGGCCCCUUCUCCAACCCUGUGCCAUAUCUGGAGGUCCCUGUGCCAAGAGGGCCCCCAGCCCCUGGAAAUCCAUGA
Molecule: RNA transcript, 2456 nt
Organism: Cercocebus atys (sooty mangabey)
Lineage: Eukaryota; Metazoa; Chordata; Mammalia; Primates; Cercopithecidae
Gene: IDUA
Gene name: iduronidase, alpha-L-
Exons: 12
Source: RefSeq, a predicted model, not a curated record